This is a small nucleolar RNA of Cavia aperea (Brazilian guinea pig), 114 nucleotides long. Its record names the gene SNORA73. It matches the Rfam family "Small nucleolar RNA SNORA73 family". From Rfam's summary of the family: U17 (SNORA73A and SNORA73B) also known as E1 belongs to the H/ACA class of small nucleolar RNAs (snoRNAs). The record is from Ensembl. Lineage: Eukaryota; Metazoa; Chordata; Mammalia; Rodentia; Caviidae.
CCUUUCUACAACGUGGAGAAGAAGCUGGACCUUAUGUCUGCACCUGCAUAUUCCUACAACUUGUCAGAGUCCUUUGGGCAGUGACUGAGGAGAUAAACCAUGCAGGAAACAACG